RNAcentral lists this ribosomal RNA (279 nucleotides) under uncultured bacterium. RNAcentral describes it as "partial 16S ribosomal RNA". It matches the Rfam family "Bacterial small subunit ribosomal RNA", at positions 506 to 784 of the family's 1533-position model. The record is from RNAcentral.
UGCCAGCAGCCGCGGUAAUACGGAGGGUGCGAACGUUAAUCGGAAUUACUGGGCGUAAAGCGAGCGUAGGCGGUUUGUUAAGUGGGAUGUGAAAGCCCCGGGCUCAACCUGGGAACUGCAUUCCAAACUGGCAGACUAGAGUGUAGUAGGGGGAGGUGGAAUGUGCUGUGUAGCGGUGAAAUGCGUAGAUAUAGCACGGAACACCAGUGGCGAAGGCGGCCUCCUGGACUAACACUGACGCUGAGGUUCGAAAGCGUGGGGAGCAAACAGGAUUAGAUA